Molecule: ribosomal RNA, 465 nt
Filed under: Vreelandella stevensii
Lineage: Bacteria; Pseudomonadati; Pseudomonadota; Gammaproteobacteria; Oceanospirillales; Halomonadaceae
Description: partial 16S ribosomal RNA
Rfam family: Bacterial small subunit ribosomal RNA
Source: RNAcentral
CCUACGGGCGGCUGCAGUGGGGAAUAUUGGACAAUGGGGGGAACCCUGAUCCAGCCAUGCCGCGUGUGUGAAGAAGGCCCUCGGGUUGUAAAGCACUUUCAGUGAGGAAGAACGCCUGGUGGUUAAUACCCAUCAGGAAAGACAUCACUCACAGAAGAAGCACCGGCUAACUCCGUGCCAGCAGCCGCGGUAAUACGGAGGGUGCGAGCGUUAAUCGGAAUUACUGGGCGUAAAGCGCGCGUAGGUGGCUUGAUAAGCCGGUUGUGAAAGCCCCGGGCUCAACCUGGGAACGGCAUCCGGAACUGUCAAGCUAGAGUGCAGGAGAGGAAGGUAGAAUUCCCUGUGUAGCGGUGAAAUGCGUAGAGAUCGGGAGGAAUACCAGUGGCGAAGGCGGCCUUCUGGACUGACACUGACACUGAGGUGCGAAAGCGUGGGUAGCAAACAGGAUUAGAUACCCCUGUAGUC